This 308-nucleotide small nucleolar RNA is filed under the name Trichophyton rubrum BMU01672. RNAcentral's name for it is "HACA-box snoRNA". The record is from RNAcentral. Lineage: Eukaryota; Fungi; Ascomycota; Eurotiomycetes; Onygenales; Arthrodermataceae.
UUGUCUAUCGAGUUCUUCUCAGAAGAAUCGGUAGGAAAAGUGGUGGUGACCUUGUUAGCUGGCCAACGGCGGACGGUUUGCCUUGAGCAAAUCAUUAUCAACGUCGCCCUUUGUGUCCCUUUGUCAUGGAACGCAUGAAUAAUUCACUCUCCUCGUCUCGUUCCUUUUAUGGCGAUAAGAUUUUCUCCUGGAUCUCUCAGCUUUGAGUGCGUUGGUUAGUAAAAUUCCAAUUCUACGAGUUGACAUCCCAACCCCCUAACUACAGCUAGUUAGAUUCUCCUGAGCCCACUGCUCUGAAACGCCAACAU